Molecule: long non-coding RNA, 215 nt
Organism: Neopelma chrysocephalum (saffron-crested tyrant-manakin)
Lineage: Eukaryota; Metazoa; Chordata; Aves; Passeriformes; Pipridae
Exons: 3
Source: RefSeq, a predicted model, not a curated record
UGGAUAUGGAUGAUUGGAGUAAUACUUGACUGGAAUUUCCCCUGCUUCUUCCUAUAAUGUUUUUAGUGACAUUGAAGAGACUUGGGACUUGAAGGGUUUAAAUGCUGCAGAUAAAUGAUUCAGUCUGGGGGUCAACAAGCACCCAAAGAUGCUGCAGUCAGAUGGUGCUGAGAUCCCUCCUUCUUCACUAAGAUUCCUACAAUCCAUAUUUCAGC